Molecule: long non-coding RNA, 1573 nt
Organism: Symphalangus syndactylus (siamang)
Lineage: Eukaryota; Metazoa; Chordata; Mammalia; Primates; Hylobatidae
Source: RefSeq, a predicted model, not a curated record
CACUCAGUGUGUGAAUUCGCUGCAUUCUCCUCAGAGAAGCCGGGUAUCACUCGCUCUGUGAACUCCAUGCAAUUUCCUUCAGGACAGCCAGACACCACUUGGUCUGCGACCUCAGUGCAAUCUCCUCAGUGAAGCUGGUCACCACUUGCUGUGUGAAUUCUGUGCACUCUCCUCAGAGAAGCCGGGUACCGCUUGCUCUGUGAACUCCAUGUAAUCUCCUUCAGGGAAGCCGGGCUCCACUUGGUCUGUGACCUUGGUGCAUUCCACUCAGAAAUGCCGGACACCACUCAGUCUGUUACCUGGGUGCAAUCUCCUCAGAGAACCCAGGCACCACGUGGUGUGUGAACUUGCAAUCUCUUUCACAAGCUGUUGCAGUUCUUUGCCUGUCCCCAACCAAGUUUUUACUUAGUUCUCCCCUAAUCUUUAGCACUGCUCGGAAUUUUAAUAGCUACUUGCUUCUCCAACCCCUAUUCAGCUUUCCAAAAAUUCAGCCAUUUGAGAGGCCAUGUUUAGACUUCUCAGAAAUCCAAAUGAUAACAACUUGCAACCCAGCCUUCAGUGAUGGAGAAGAUCCCCCCACAGCCAACACACCUCAGCUGAGGCACAGCGUGCAAGCACAGUAUAGUAUUCAAUUACAAGAACAUGCCACCAUCUAUCUGCCCAUUCUUAUUUGAUGGCUGUUUGAGUUUCUUCCAGCAUUGGACUAACGUGGAAUUGGAUAUAGUAUGUGCACAAUUUCUCACCUGUGUGGAGCCAGCCAGCACCCAACCAUCAAGUUUCUCCCCAAAGCACCAGGUAUAAAGAUGGCUCUUCCAGCUGGGGCACCCAAGUGCAGGUGACUCAGGACAGAAAUGCAGUUGUAAGAAAAACCAUCUGCCUGUGAGUCACCGAGACUUUUAAUUUGUUGCUGCUACAGAAUGAGUGAGUUGACCCCAGAACAAAAGCUCCAUUCCCUCCCUUGUCACCCUGACUCCACCACUAUGAGAGCACGUGGACAGGCAGAUAUGAGUGAAACUGCCUUUGCAAAAUUAUGACUGAGACAGUGAAACAGAUCUAACUUAACUGAUUCCAUCUUGCUUCUAACCUCCAAGCUGUCCUUGUUCAUUCCUGGGUGUAGGCUGAACUAACUUUGGGAGGAACUUAUAGUUUAUGGUUUAAAACAAAGAUAAUAACAGUCCUUUCCCAAAGCAGACCUCCUUCUCAUCUGGGGAUUAGAUUGCCUUUAUAGGACUAAUAUUAGCCACAAGAUUAGAAAUUAUGGCUUAGGAGCCACACAGCUGGAGGCUACAAGAGUCUGACUCUCCCCAAACUGCUCCUAAUAUCAGUACUUGAUAUAUUUUGCAGACCCUGAACUUGAUGGAUCAGCUGGCACCACCCAGACAGAAAAACUGGCUCAUCUGAUCUUGUGGCCCCUGCGCAGGAAUUGACUCAGCGCAAGAGAAUAGCUUCAACUCCCUAUGAUUUCAUCCCCGACCAAUCAGCACUUCUGGUUCACUGACUUCCCCCCACCCACAAAGUUGUCCUUAAAAACUCUGCUCCCAAAUGCUUGCAGAGACUGAUUUGAGUAAUAAUA